This 2847-nucleotide unclassified non-coding RNA is filed under the name Hevea brasiliensis (rubber tree). Lineage: Eukaryota; Viridiplantae; Streptophyta; Magnoliopsida; Malpighiales; Euphorbiaceae. The record is from RNAcentral.
CAAAAGGUACCACCCAAACGAGAGGUCCAAACUGAAUUACCUGUCACUUUUUUUAACAAGUACAAAACAACAGUAGCGACUACUAUACCCAUCACUUCACUUCCCAACAACAACACCUCUAGUUUUGUUCUUGAUCCCACCGGAGAAAUCAUGGCCGGAGUUCUCAACAUCCCUCAAUCUUCUUUUUUCUGUUCGAUUCCCAGCAAGCGGAAAAUACCCAGAAGGCCAAUUUCCAUUAUUAGAGCCACCUCAGAGACACCUCUUUCUUCUACUUCAAACACCACCACCACCACCACCAAUGAAGACCAAAAGCUGGAGGCUUCUUUUACUGCCCCUCCCAAUUUCAAGCCACCGGCUCCCAAGCCGUUCACAGUGAAGGAAGGCAAGACUUUGGAUAUUCUUGGUGCUUCUCUUGCCUUGCUUUUCCGGUUGGGCACUGGUGUUUUCGUUUCAGGGUAUUCUGUAUCUUUUGUUUCCAAGAAUGAGAUUCCACCAGACCAAUAUGCUCUAGAAGUAGCUGGUUACAAAGUGAAAGAGACCUCAAAAAUAGGCCCUCGCCCUGAGAAGCCUAUUGAGAUAUACGAGUUCGAAAGCUGUCCAUUUUGUCGUAAGGUUAGAGAAAUUGUUGCAGUUUUGGAUAUUGAUGUUCUGUUCUAUCCUUGCCCAAAAAAUGGUCCCACUUUCCGUCCCAAGGUUGUUCAGAUGGGUGGAAAACAGCAAUUCCCUUACAUGGUGGAUCCAAAUACUGGAACUGCAAUGUAUGAAUCAGAUGAUAUAAUUAAGUAUCUAGUUGGAAAAUAUGGUGUGUUUCUUUACCUUGACUAGCUUUUCCUUGGUUGUUUUCACUAUUUUUUUUUUUUUUUUGGUGCAGAUGUCCUGAACCAGAUGUUCUUGAAAAGAAAAAAGAAAUAGUCAAAAUGUAUAUUUUGAAAUUUUAUAUUCACAAGAGUACCUUCCGAUAUAAUUUUUUUCCCCCUCGUGAUUGUCACUAACAUCUUAGAUCUUACAACAAAUAGAUAUAGUCAAUCUCAUUUAAAAGUUUUGAAAAUUGUGCUUCCAUGUAUUAUACUAGUUAACUACCUUGUUUGGACCUGGUUAUGGAUGUUGGAGACAUAGCCACGCCCUACAUUAGUAUUUUUCAUACUAUUUUCGGAUCAUUCUCAAGGACUAAUCUCCAUUUUAGGUGUUCAUCAUAUAUUUGACACAGGCAUGCUAUGGUAAAAUGAAGUGUCAAAGUAACAAAGCUAACUGAAUUAGUUAUUUUUUAUGCCUUGUCAUGUACUAUCUUAUUUCAUUUUUGUUUUCUCUCAACCUUUAAGAUGAUCUCUAACCUUAAAUGAGAGAUUUAGUAAUUUAUGAUCUUAUGCAUUAUGUAUCUCUGCUGUAAUCCAUAAAAAUCUUUUCAUUUACUGUGUUCGAUUUAUUUCAUUUAGGUGAUGGAAAUGUUCCUUUUAUGUUGUCACUUGGCCUUUUAACGGUUAGUAUUUGAAUUUUCUUUAAAUUUUUUGCAUGUCAAUUUGUAAAAUGUAAGUGUCAAGAUAUAUAGUUUCUUAUUUUAUGACUUCUAUUCUCUGUAGACCUUGACGGCUGGGUUUGCUAUGAUUGGCCGUAUGGGAAAGGGAUCAUCAUAUUCUCCAUCAAAAUUGCCACCUAAACCACCUUAAAUAUGGUCAUAUGAGGGUUCCCCAUUCUGCAAAAUUGUUCGUGAAACACUUGUUGAGUUAGAGUUACCACAUAUUCAGAACAGAUGAAGUCCAUAUCUGGUCUCCUUUUGCUGUGGGCCUUGUUAUUUCUUCAUUUUGUUGUGCUCGUGGCAGUUCAAAACAACGGCUGUUAUAUCAGAAAGCGGGACACUUUCAGGUACCAUAUUUGGAAGAUCCAAAUACUGGGGUCCAGAUGUUUGAAAGUGCUGACAUUGUGGAAUAUCUAAAGGCAACGUAUGCUGCAAGCUUUCAAGGAUACACAAAUAUAUGUAUAUUCCUUUACCCUAUUUCCCCCUUUUUGGACUAUAACAAUUCCACACCCCCUAUUCCAAGUACCGAUCCUUUUAUCUUUAUAAUCAAAAGGAAUGUGUCAUUUUGUUGCUUCCUGGACAAGGUCUGUUAGAUUGCAUGAUGCAAUGAUGUUAUUUAUUUAUAUUUUUCAGUUGUACGUGUGGGAUUUCCAAUUCAUGCUUAGAAAUGAUGUUGCCACUUCUACUGGUUUCUUAUUUAUUAUUAUUAUUAUUGGGGGGUGGGGUGUGCAGCUCUAUUAAUUAUGCAUACUUUGUCAUUAUGAUAUGAAAUCUUAAUCUCGUUUAGGCUAUGUAUUUGAUUCUUGAUCAAUUUGUUAAGACCAAGUUUUUUUGGUUCAUAAUGUUGUUAGUUGUUUUUUCCCCUAUAAACAUAAUAUUGUGACAGUUUUUAAUAAUGUUUUUGUUGUUUGGUAAUAAGACAAUUUCUACUGGUUUUUGGCAUAUUGUUUCUGAAUUUUUCAAUUGUAUUCGUUUUCCCCCUGCUGGACGUUUUCUUUUUCCUUUUUCUCAUUAAAUCCAAUAUUAUUAAUGAGUCAUGAUUCCUAUCAUAUGGUUCAUUCCCAUUGCUUUGGGGUUAUUCAUAAUUAUCUCUGCUUUGUUGCAUGCUUUUCUUUUUCCUCUGUCAGAUAUCUUAAAUCUUAAUAUAAUGGCCUAAUUUGCCAAGUUGUAUACAGUUGUUUUUUAUUCAAGGUCUAUUAUCCUCACAUUUGCUUUUACCUUUCCCACUCUGCAGCAAUCUUGACGAUGAUAAUGCAUUUCAGAUUUUGCUUUUCCCCUAUUUUUAUUUUUCUUUAAAAAAUUGCACUUCAGGUUCAGUGAUUUUAUCAGAACUG